This is a long non-coding RNA of Erigeron canadensis, 1307 nucleotides long. RefSeq lists it as uncharacterized. The transcript has 2 exons. NCBI's taxonomy places the organism in Eukaryota, Viridiplantae, Streptophyta, Magnoliopsida, Asterales, Asteraceae. The record is from RefSeq and is a predicted model, not a curated record.
UCAUAAUCACAAAAACGAUAGAAACUUUGAAUGAAAAGGAUUUAGGAGGUUGUAUGCAUCAAAAGUAAAUGGUUGACUCUCAACCCAUUUGGCCUGUGCAGUCCUGUUCCUUUCUCUUUCAGGUAAUCUGUUUUGAACAGAUAAUGGCAAGAAUUAUUGCGAAGCAAUAAUAAAAUAAUAGCUUAUACACAUUCAAACAUUUGUCAAACAUGUUUGUUUUGUGCUCAAUACCUUGUUAUGCCUUGCAGGAGAUGUCAACAAUGAGUUGAGCACCAGUAGAUCAAUUGUAAAGUGCAUUGAAGGCCAUAAACGUGAAUUUCAACUGAGCAUGAAGAAGCGGAUUACCAAGUUGUAGAAGGUGAAAUCAGAUGAGUAGAAGACUAAUGCUACUCCAAAAAGCAAGCUUGCUUCUAACAAGCAGGUUCCACCCACGGAAGUCUGAUGCAGCCACCUGCCGGCUGCUUGAAAUCAGAGCACCGGUAGAGCAACUGUAAAAUGCGUUGCAGACCGUAGACUUGAAUUUCAACUGAGCAUGAAGAUGGAAAAGAUGACAUCAGAUAAGAAGAAGACUAGUGCUACUUCCAAAAUCAAGCCUGAAGCAGUCAAACCCAAGGAGGUCUGAUGCAGCCACCUGCAGGUCACUUGAAAUCAGCACAGUCUCAAAUUCUUUUACAGCCUUCCGUUUGAGAAAUGAAGCUUCACUACUCACAGCCACCAGAUACCCAUCAUCACAUAGGAAAUGAAUACACGAAAACUAAACAAAAGUAGGAACCAAUUCUUGAGAAUAGAGAAGGAAAGCAGGUGCUGAUUGGCAUCUAAAUGGUUUCUAUAACCCAAUUUUCUGCAAGAUGGACAUGCCACAAAUGAUGACUACCGAAUAGAUGCAUGAAUCCAUGAAUAACGCACUUGCUGCGGUUUUGAACAACAUGCCCCACUCAAAAGGCGUACCUAGAUUAUCCAGAAAAUCAAUCUCAAUUGGCGAAGAACCGGUUUUUGUAUCCUGCUGGAUCAUUAUCAUAGCAUCCAAAAGCAGAGGUCCAACAGUGAUUGUGAUAUUAAUUAGCAAAAGUAGAAUAAGUGGCCUGGAUAGUAUGAUGCUUCUUAUAAUGUAGUUUCCUAGGAUAGGGAAUCCUACAUGUGACAGUAGAGCUACAAUUCCAACAAAAAACGCACACUUGCGGCGUUUAUCUUGGGUAGCUAAAAUGGCUGGACGCAACUGUCCAGGGCUCAAUGUUUUGUAUAGAUAGAUUUGCAUAUCUGAUUUUGGAACCUUUUGGGAAGUAGUUUGAUGAUUUGAUUUGUUGGGA